RNAcentral lists this long non-coding RNA (289 nucleotides) under Prunus persica (peach). RNAcentral's name for it is "long non-coding RNA (PPER_LNC002372)". Lineage: Eukaryota; Viridiplantae; Streptophyta; Magnoliopsida; Rosales; Rosaceae. The record is from RNAcentral.
CAAAUCCUGUAACUCCUUUGUAACAAUUACUUUAAUCAAUGCAAGACAACAAUUGUCUCAAAUGUCUCUCGGUUUUGCAUUUAUAUAAACUAGCCUCUCUGCACACGCUUCCGUGCCUGUAAGAGGCUUUUUUUCUUAAAAUUUAAAUUUAUUUUAGAAUUAAAAAAGAUAAUGGGUAGUUGUGUUCUAUAAAAAUUGGAUCCAUUAUCUGAUUUUUCUUUUAAUUUUAAUUUUUUUUAUAUGAAAAAUUUUGAAUUUACCAUAUUAUCCUCAUUUAAUUAAUAAUUUC